CGCGGCCUAUCAGCUUGUUGGCGGGGUAACGGCCCACCAAGGCAUCGACGGGUAGCUGGUCUGAGAGGACGAUCAGCCACACUGGGACUGAGACACGGCCCAGACUCCUACGGGAGGCAGCAGUGGGGAAUCUUGCGCAAUGGGCGAAAGCCUGACGCAGCAACGCCGCGUGCGGGAUGACGGCCUUCGGGUUGUAAACCGCUUUCAGCAGGGACGAAAUUGACGGUACCUGCAGAAGAAGCCCCGGCCAACUACGUGCCAGCAGCCGCGGUAACACGUAGGGGGCGAGCGUUGUCCGGAUUUAUUGGGCGUAAAGAGCUCGUAGGCGGCCCGGUAAGUCGGGUGUGAAACCUCCAGGCUCAACCUGGAGACGCCACCUGAUACUGCUGUGGCUAGAGUCCGGUAGGGGAGCGUGGAACUCCUGGUGUAGCGGUGAAAUGCGCAGAUAUCAGGAAGAACACCAGCGGCGAAGGCGGCGCUCUGGGCCGGAACUGACGCUGAGGAGCGAAAGCGUGGGUAGCAAACAGGAUUAGAUACCCUGGUAGUCCACGCCGUAAACGUUGGGCACUAGGUGUGGGUCUCAACCAACGAGAUCCGUGCCGCAGCUAACGCAUUAAGUGCCCCGCCUGGGGAGUACGG
Molecule: ribosomal RNA, 639 nt
Filed under: uncultured bacterium
Lineage: Bacteria
Description: bacterial SSU rRNA
Rfam family: Bacterial small subunit ribosomal RNA
Source: RNAcentral